RNAcentral lists this ribosomal RNA (534 nucleotides) under Fusarium sp. 18 SO-2015. RNAcentral's name for it is "eukaryotic LSU rRNA". The record is from RNAcentral. Lineage: Eukaryota; Fungi; Ascomycota; Sordariomycetes; Hypocreales; Nectriaceae.
AAAGGUCUCCGUUGGUGAACCAGCGGARGGAUCAUUACCGAGUUUACAACUCCCAAACCCCUGUGAACAUACCACUUGUUGCCUCGGCGGAUCAGCCCGCUCCCGGUAAAACGGGACGGCCCGCCAGAGGACCCCUAAACUCUGUUUCCAUAUGUAACUUCUGAGUAAAACCAUAAAUAAAUCAAAACUUUCAACAACGGAUCUCUUGGUUCUGGCAUCGAUGAAGAACGCAGCAAAAUGCGAUAAGUAAUGUGAAUUGCAGAAUUCAGUGAAUCAUCGAAUCUUUGAACGCACAUUGCGCCCGCCAGUAUUCUGGCGGGCAUGCCUGUUCGAGCGUCAUUUCAACCCUCAAGCACAGCUUGGUGUUGGGACUCGCGUUAAUUCGCGUUCCUCAAAUUGAUUGGCGGUCACGUCGAGCUUCCAUAGCGUAGUAGUAAAACCCUCGUUACUGGUAAUCGUCGCGGCCACGCCGUUAAACCCCAACUUCUGAAUGUUGACCUCGGAUCAGGUAGGAAUACCCGCUGAACUUAAGCA